This 782-nucleotide ribosomal RNA is filed under the name uncultured bacterium. RNAcentral's name for it is "bacterial SSU rRNA". It matches the Rfam family "Bacterial small subunit ribosomal RNA", at positions 8 to 795 of the family's 1533-position model. The record is from RNAcentral.
AGAGUUUGAUCCUGGCUCAGAUUGAACGCUGGCGGCAGGCCUAACACAUGCAAGUCGAGCGGAGGUAGCAAUACCUUAGCGGCGGACGGGUGAGGAAUGCAUCGGAACGUGCCGUGUAGUGGGGGAUAACACAGCGAAAGUUGUGCUAAUACCGCAUACGCCCUGAGGGGGAAAGUGGGGGACCGCAAGGCCUCACGCUAUAUGAGCGGCCGAUGCCCGAUUAGCUAGUUGGUGAGGUAAUGGCUCACCAAGGCGACGAUCAGUAGCGGGUCUGAGAGGAUGAUCCGCCACACUGGAACUGAGACACGGUCCAGACUCCUACGGGAGGCAGCAGUGGGGAAUUUUGGACAAUGGGGGCAACCCUGAUCCAGCCAUUCCGCGUGAGUGAAGAAGGCCUUCGGGUUGUAAAGCUCUUUCAGCUGGAACGAAACGGUACGCUCUAACGUAGUGUGCUAAUGACGGUACCAGCAGAAGAAGCACCGGCUAACUACGUGCCAGCAGCCGCGGUAAUACGUAGGGUGCGAGCGUUAAUCGGAAUUACUGGGCGUAAAGCGUGCGCAGGCGGAUUGUUAAGCAAGACGUGAAAUCCCCGGGCUUAACCUGGGAAUGGCGUUUUGAACUGGCAGUCUAGAGUGUGUCAGAGGGGGGUAGAAUUCCACGUGUAGCAGUGAAAUGCGUAGAGAUGUGGAGGAAUACCAAUGGCGAAGGCAGCCCCCUGGGAUAACACUGACGCUCAUGUACGAAAGCGUGGGUAGCAAACAGGAUUAGAUACCCUGGUAGUC